This 274-nucleotide ribosomal RNA is filed under the name uncultured bacterium. RNAcentral's name for it is "partial 16S ribosomal RNA". It matches the Rfam family "Bacterial small subunit ribosomal RNA", at positions 523 to 796 of the family's 1533-position model. The record is from RNAcentral.
AUACGGGGGGUGCGAGCGUUAAUCGGAAUUACUGGGCGUAAAGAGUACGUAGGCGGUUGCUUAAGUCAGAUGUGAAAGCCCCGGGCUCAACCUGGGAACUGCAUUUGAAACUGAGUGACUAGAGUUUAAGAGAGGGGAGUAGAAUUCCGGGUGUAGCGGUGAAAUGCGUAGAGAUCCGGAGGAAUACCAGUGGCGAAGGCGGCUCCCUGGCUUAAAACUGACGCUGAGGUACGAAAGCGUGGGUAGCAAACAGGAUUAGAUACCCUAGUAGUCC